AUGGUGACAAUAUUGGUGGAAGAAUUUGAUGUAAUAAAGGAAUUGUUGGAUGAAAUGGAUCAGGAAAAUGUGGUGUACUUGGUGGUUGUAAUGGAUUAUUAGGAACUAAUGGAGGUGGUUGAAGUGGAUUAGGGACUAAUGGUGUUGAAGUUGGUGGCUGUAAUGGAUUAUUAGGGACUAAUGGUGGUGAUAAAAAUGGAUUAGGAGGAAGGUUAAAAGUAUCAAGGUUAAUUACAUUUUUUUCAUCUAAAUUUUUUGAAGUUUUAGUUGAUUUGUAUUUGGAUUCUUCACUAGUCAUUCCACUAGGGAUUAGUGGUGACAAUUCAGGUGGCAAUAUUGGUGUAAGAAUUUCAGGUACUAAAGGAACUGGUGGAAGGAAAGGAAGAACACCACUAGGGGGGUUUGGAUCUUGAAGUGGGGGUGGAAAAGAAGGAUCAAUUUUGGGAGGAAAUGAAGUUUUUUUCAAAGAAUCAAGAAGUUUUUUUGUGUUUUGAACAACACUUGGUUUUUGGUUACAUAAAUUUGGUUGUUUAAGUGGUUUGAAUGAGAAAAACCCUGCUGAAAAAAUGUGUAGUCCUUGUUUUCUUGAUUUUAGGUGAAGUGAUGAAGAUGAGGCUGCUGAAGCUAUAGAACAAAAUGGUUCAUUGCUGCUUACUAAUUUCACUACACACCCUUUGAUUCUCUUUACAUGUUUGCUUACUGAGAAUGGAAGUUGGAUUUUGAAUUCACCAUGUUCAUUUGUUUUGACUUGUUUCUUGAAUCUUGG
RNAcentral lists this long non-coding RNA (766 nucleotides) under Medicago truncatula (barrel medic). RNAcentral's name for it is "lncRNA gene38646". The record is from RNAcentral. Lineage: Eukaryota; Viridiplantae; Streptophyta; Magnoliopsida; Fabales; Fabaceae.